Molecule: ribosomal RNA, 406 nt
Filed under: uncultured bacterium
Lineage: Bacteria
Description: partial 16S ribosomal RNA
Rfam family: Bacterial small subunit ribosomal RNA
Source: RNAcentral
AUUGAACGCUGGCGGCAGGCCUAACACAUGCAAGUCGAGCGAGCGGCGGACGGGUGAGUAAUGUAUGGGAAACUGCCUGAUGGAGGGGGAUAACUACUGGAAACGGUAGCUAAUACCGCAUACCAUCAGAUGUGCCCAGAUGGUAUGAGCUAGUAGGUGGGGUAAUGGCUCACCUAGGCGACGAUCCCUAGCUGGUCUUAGAGGAUGACCAGCCACACUGGAACUGGGACACGGUCCAGACUCCUGCGGUAGUCAGCAGUAGGGAAUAUUGGACAAUGGGCGCAAGCCUGAUGCAGCCAUGCCGCGUGUGUGAAGAAGGCCUUCGGGUUGGAAAGCACUUUCAGCGGUGAGGCGUUACCCGAAGAAGAAGCACCGGCUAACUCCGUGCCAGCAGCCGCGGUAAUAC